Molecule: ribosomal RNA, 440 nt
Filed under: uncultured bacterium
Lineage: Bacteria
Description: partial 16S ribosomal RNA
Rfam family: Bacterial small subunit ribosomal RNA
Source: RNAcentral
CCUACGGGUGGCAGCAGUGGGGAAUAUUGCACAAUGGGGGAAACCCUGAUGCAGCGACGCCGCGUGAGUGAAGAAGUAUUUCGGUACGUAAAGCUCUAUCAGCAGGGAAGAAAAUGACGGUACCUGACUAAGAAGCCCCGGCUAACUACGUGCCAGCAGCCGCGGUAAUACGUAGGGGGCAAGCGUUAUCCGGAUUUACUGGGUGUAAAGGGAGCGUAGACGGCAGUGCAAGUCUGGAGUGAAAGGCGGGGGCUCAACCCCCGGACUGCGCUGGAAACUGUACGGCAGGAGUGCAGGAGAGGUGAGUGGAAUGCCUGGUGUAGCGGUGAAAUGCGUAGAUAUUAGGAGGAACACCAGUGGCGAAGGCGGCUUACUGGACUGUAACUGACGUUGAGGCUCGAAAGCGUGGGGAGCAAACAGGAUUAGAUACCCUAGUAGUC